RNAcentral lists this transfer RNA (73 nucleotides) under Leucobacter weissii. Its description in RNAcentral is "tRNA-Met". It matches the Rfam family "tRNA". Rfam says of the family: Transfer RNA (tRNA) molecules are approximately 80 nucleotides in length. Their secondary structure includes four short double-helical elements and three loops (D, anti-codon, and T loops). Further hydrogen bonds mediate the characteristic L-shaped molecular structure. tRNAs have two regions of fundamental functional importance: the anti-codon, which is responsible for specific mRNA codon recognition, and the 3' end, to which the tRNAs corresponding amino acid is attached (by aminoacyl-tRNA synthetases). tRNAs cope with the degeneracy of the genetic code in two manners: having more than one tRNA (with a specific anti-codon) for a particular amino acid; and 'wobble' base-pairing, i.e. permitting non-standard base-pairing at the 3rd anti-codon position. The record is from RNAcentral. Lineage: Bacteria; Bacillati; Actinomycetota; Actinomycetes; Micrococcales; Microbacteriaceae.
CGCGGCGGUCCGGACGGUUCCGGUGACUGGCUCAUACCCAGGAAAUCUGCGGGUUCGACUCCCGCCGUCGCGU